GUGCCAGCCGCCGCGGUAAUACGUAGGUUCCGAGCGUUGUCCGGAUUUAUUGGGCGUAAAGCGAGCGCAGGCGGUUAGAUAAGUCUGAAGUUAAAGGCUGUGGCUUAACCAUAGUACGCUUUGGAAACUGUUUAACUUGAGUGCAAGAGGGGAGAGUGGAAUUCCAUGUGUAGCGGUGAAAUGCGUAGAUAUAUGGAGGAACACCGGUGGCGAAAGCGGCUCUCUGGCUUGUAACUGACGCUGAGGCUCGAAAGCGUGGGGAGCAAACAGGAUUAGAUACCCUGGUAGUCAAGGGCGAAUUCGC
RNAcentral lists this ribosomal RNA (304 nucleotides) under uncultured Streptococcaceae bacterium. RNAcentral's name for it is "bacterial SSU rRNA". It matches the Rfam family "Bacterial small subunit ribosomal RNA", at positions 505 to 809 of the family's 1533-position model. The record is from RNAcentral. Lineage: Bacteria; Bacillati; Bacillota; Bacilli; Lactobacillales; Streptococcaceae.